Long non-coding RNA from Oncorhynchus masou masou (cherry salmon), 870 nucleotides. RefSeq lists it as uncharacterized. Lineage: Eukaryota; Metazoa; Chordata; Actinopteri; Salmoniformes; Salmonidae. The record is from RefSeq and is a predicted model, not a curated record. The transcript has 4 exons.
AAGAAAAUUAAUUAAAUAAACACCUUGGUCUCCCCUCUGCAUUCAAACAGCCCUUCACAGCUGAUUCUGACAUGACAAGAGCGACAGGGAUGCACACAAACACAUGUGCGUGUACCCAAACACACCUGAAGAAUCCUGCUGGGGAGAAGUGGAAGCAAAUGGGUCUUCAUCCUCAUGCUCAGGCAACAUUUGUGAAGACACCUGUGUGACUGAGGAAGUGGAUGGCUCCUCAUCCUGAGGCUCUGAGAUCAUUUCUGAAGAGGCCUGUGUGGCUCAGGAGAGAGAUGUUUGUUUCUGUCGGCACGAUGCAUGAAGAAACUGGGUGGCUGUACCGACUCUGACAACAUAACAAAGAUUGGACAUUGGCUAGUAAUAUGCUCGGAAGCAGUGGAUGGUGUGCUCGCCUUCUGAGUCUGACCAGUAGGCCACUCCAGCGACGACCGCUCCGUCUGCCUCUCCUGCGACGACUGCAUUGUUAUGGGUCGGCCUCUGGGAUAAGAUCGCAUGUCCAGGGUGGAGGUCCGAACAAAGGAUCCGCUUCGGGAAAGACGUAUUCCUGGUUGUAAUGAUGGUAAGUUGACAUCACUUUUAUAUCCAAAGGUUCUUUCCGGCUGCAUGAAAUAACACUUGAGAUUUUCUGGGCUAACUGCAUUGUUUUCUAAGGACCUGAAGCGAGGCGACCAUCUCUGUCAGCGCCAUUUUUGUGCUGCUACAAUGUUGUGUUGCUACCAUGUUGUUGUUACGAUGUGUUGCUACCAUGCUGUGCUGUUGUCUUAGGUUUCUCUUUAUGUAGAGUUGUGUUGUCUUUCUUCUUGUGAUGUGUGUUUUAUCCUAUAUUUAUAUUAUAUUAAUUUUUCAUCCCAGGGCCCC